AUGGGAAUAGGACUAUUUCCUGAUGUGGGUGGAGGUUAUUUCUUGCCAAGACUUCAAGGAAAACUCGGUUACUUCCUUGCACUGACAGGAUACAGACUAAAGGGAAGAGAUGUGCACAGAGUGGGAAUUGCCACACACUUUGUAGAUUCGGGAAAGUCACAUGUGUCACAUGUGUGGGAGGAGGAGCUGUUAGCAUUAAAGUCACCUUCAGCUGAGGUUGUUGCAGGUGUCUUAGAAAGCUAUCAUGCCAAGUCCAAGAUGGAUCAAGACAAAUCUAUCAUAUUUGAGGAACACAUGGACAAAAUAAACAGUUGUUUUUCAGCCAAUACCGUGGAACAGAUAAUUGAAAACUUAAGGCAAGAUGGUUCACCUUUUGCCAUAGAACAGAUGAAGGUAAUUAAUAAAAUGUCUCCGACAUCACUAAAGAUCACACUAAGGCAACUCAUGGAGGGCUCUUCAAAGACCUUGCAAGAGGUACUGACCAUGGAAUAUCGGAUAACUCAAGCAUGUAUGUUCUCAUUGACAAAGACCAGACUCCAAAAUGGAAACCAGCCAAACUAAAAGAUGUUACGGAUGAAGACUUGAAUAGUUACUUUAAAUCUCUGGGAAGCAGUGAUUUGAAAUUCUAGAGUUUAUUUUGGAGCAAAGGUCAACACCUCAUAGCACAGAGGCUAGGCCUAGCAUCUUGCCCAGUUUCAUGCAGCCUGCAAGCUGGAAAUGGUUUUCUCAUUUUUAAAUGAUUGGGAAGGGAAUGAAAAGACUAAUAUUUCAUGAUACAGUGGUUGCCCAAAGUUUAAGCACCAAUGUUUGUAACUUUUCAUGAUAUGACAGCUGAAGUCCAAACACCAAUGUAUUAUGGAACCUUCCUGCAGCGUAGCAGAACUUCUCUACAGCUGCUUGGAGUGGCCAGAGCACAGACUUUAUGACCCACAGCAGCUCAAGGGUCUAAGUUUCUACUCCAGUCUUCAUCAGAAAUGGUUUGUUGGCUCCUGGU
Mus caroli (Ryukyu mouse) is the source of this 994-nucleotide non-coding RNA. NCBI's taxonomy places the organism in Eukaryota, Metazoa, Chordata, Mammalia, Rodentia, Muridae. The record is from RefSeq and is a predicted model, not a curated record.